This is a long non-coding RNA of Rosa rugosa (rugosa rose), 617 nucleotides long. RefSeq lists it as uncharacterized. The transcript is spliced from 4 exons. The record is from RefSeq and is a predicted model, not a curated record. Lineage: Eukaryota; Viridiplantae; Streptophyta; Magnoliopsida; Rosales; Rosaceae.
UACCUAAAUUAAAGACAAAAGUGUUGGGACAGUUGUGAGAUCAUGCAGUGUACUGAUGGAUAAGUUAUUGUUAGUGUUUUAGUUAGUAGGUUCAGAGUUAAUAAAUUUGUUAAAUCUUUCUUUCUAAGAUUGUAUUUCUGACCACAUAUUAUAUGAUUGCAGAUAGAAAAUGGGAGGUCUCUAAGAUUGUAUUUCUCACUGUGAACUAUUGCGGUGCUUAGGAAGCUGAUCGGAAAGAUUCCCAAAGUUGUUGAGAAUUCUGAGAGUGCUUGGACCACACCAUCAGUAGUUUCCUUCAAUCAGAAAGGAAAGCUACUAGUUGGUACUCCAGCAAAACGUCAAGCAGUUACCAACCCAUCGAAGAGUCAGUUUUUCUUGGUGCUUACUUUGGACCUAUCAUUGCUUGGAAAGGAUAGUACGGAUGAAUUCUCAAUUGUGCCUCUCUCUUUUUUUUCUUGAAGAUAAUAUGUUAUGAAAUAAGAGUAUAAUUGUGCUUGAUUCUUGAUUUUUUGAUGGUGGUAGAAUGCAGCUACGAUGAUUUGACUCUUAGAAUGGAAAAGAAGUAAGGUAAAUGUGCCACAGUGGCUCCAUGUAGCGUAUCGUUUCUAAAGCAUCAC